Molecule: ribosomal RNA, 256 nt
Filed under: uncultured bacterium
Lineage: Bacteria
Description: partial 16S ribosomal RNA
Rfam family: Bacterial small subunit ribosomal RNA
Source: RNAcentral
UACGGAGGGGGCGAGCGUUAUCCAUCAUGAUUGGGCGUAAAGAGUCCGUAGGCGGCACUUGGUGGUGGUUUGUCAAAUUCCCCGGCUUCACCGGGGCACGGCGCUCCAGACACUUGGGCUUGAGUGAGAAAGACGAUCAUGGAAUUUCCCAUGUAGGGGUGGUAUCCGAACAUAUGGGAAGGAACAUCAACGGUGAAGACAAUGAUCGAGUUCUUGUCACUGACGCUGAGGGACGAAAGCGUGGGGAGCAAACAGG